UACGGGGGGGGCAAGCGUUGUUCGGAAUUACUGGGCGUAAAGGGCUCGUAGGCGGCCAACUAAGUCGGAUGUGAAAUCCCCAGGCUUAACCUGGGAACUGCAUCCGAUACUGGAUGGCUUGAAUCCGGGAGAGGGAUGCAGAAUUCCUGGUGUAGCGGUGAAAUGCGCAGAUAUCAGGAGGAACACCAAUGGCGAAGGCAGCUCGCUGGGACGUGACUGACGCUGAGACGCGAAAGCGUGGGGAGCAAACAGG
RNAcentral lists this ribosomal RNA (253 nucleotides) under uncultured bacterium. RNAcentral's name for it is "partial 16S ribosomal RNA". It matches the Rfam family "Bacterial small subunit ribosomal RNA", at positions 524 to 776 of the family's 1533-position model. The record is from RNAcentral.